This 500-nucleotide ribosomal RNA is filed under the name uncultured bacterium. RNAcentral's name for it is "partial 16S ribosomal RNA". It matches the Rfam family "Bacterial small subunit ribosomal RNA", at positions 899 to 1397 of the family's 1533-position model. The record is from RNAcentral.
ACUCAAAUGAAUUGACGGGGGCCCGCACAAGCGGUGGAGCAUGUGGUUCAAUUCGAAGCAACGCGCAGAACCUUACCAGCUCUUGACAUGGGACGUAUGGGGGCCGGAGACGGUCUUCUUCAGUUCGGCUGGCGUCCACACAGGUGCUGCAUGGCUGUCGUCAGCUCGUGUCGUGAGAUGUUGGGUUAAGUCCCGCAACGAGCGCAACCCUCCUCUUCAGUUGCCAGCAUUGAGUUGGGCACUCUGGAGAUACUGCCGGUGACAAGCCGGAGGAAGGCGGGGAUGACGUCAAGUCCUCAUGGCCCUUACGGGCUGGGCUACACACGUGCUACAAUGGCGGUGACAGAGGGGCGCGAACCCGCGAGGGGGAGCCGAUCCCGAAAAGCCGUCUCAGUUCGGAUCGCACUCUGCAACUCGAGUGCGUGAAGUCGGAAUCGCUAGUAAUCGCGGAUCAGCACGCCGCGGUGAAUACGUUCCCGGGCCUUGUACACACCGCCCGU